Molecule: ribosomal RNA, 786 nt
Filed under: uncultured Clostridia bacterium
Lineage: Bacteria; Bacillati; Bacillota; Clostridia
Description: bacterial SSU rRNA
Rfam family: Bacterial small subunit ribosomal RNA
Source: RNAcentral
UAACACAUGCAAGUCGGACGGGCAUUUGGUGGAAGCUUGUGAAGCCGGAUGUUAGUGGCGGACGGGUGAGUGACGCGUGAGGACCUAUCUGGAAGAGGGGGACAACAGUUGGAAACGACUGCUAAGACCCCAUAAGCCGAGAGUGAAAGGGAGCGAUCCGNUUCCGGAGGACUCGCGGGCUAUCAGCUGGUUGGUGGGGUAACGGCCUACCAAGGCGAAGCGGCAAGCCGGCCUGAGAGGGCGACCGGCCACACUGGAACUGAGAUACGGUCCAGACUCCUACGGGAGGCAGCAGUGGGGAAUAUUGGGCAAUGGGGGCAACCCUGACCCAGCGACGCCGCGUGGAGGAAGAAGUCCCUCGGGAUGUAAACUCCUGUUGUGUGGGAAGAAGCGAGUGACGGUACCACACGAGGAAGCCCCGGCAAACUACGUGCCAGCAGCCGCGGUAAUACGUAGGGGGCGGGCGUUGUCCGGAAUCAUUGGGCGUAAAGAGCACGUAGGCGGCCUGUCAGGUCGGAUGUGAAAACCCGCGGCUCAACUGCGGGAUUGCAUUCGAAACCGGCAGCUAGAGUCCAGUAGAGGAAAGUGGAAUUCCCAGUGUAGCGGUGAAAUGCGCAGAUAUUGGGAAGAACACCGGCGGCGAAGGCACUUGCUGGGCAGCAACUGACGCUGGGGCGCAAAAGCCAGGGGAGCAAACGGGAUUAGAUACCCCGGUAGUCCUGGCCGUAAACGAUGAAUGCUAGGUGUGGGUGUAGAGAUACAUUCGUGCCGGAGUUAACGCGAUAA